Molecule: ribosomal RNA, 253 nt
Filed under: uncultured bacterium
Lineage: Bacteria
Description: partial 16S ribosomal RNA
Rfam family: Bacterial small subunit ribosomal RNA
Source: RNAcentral
UACGUAGGGCGCAAGCGUUGUCCGGAAUUAUUGGGCGUAAAGAGCUCGUAGGCGGCUUGUCACGUCGGGUGUGAAAGCCCGGGGCUUAACCCCGGGUCUGCAUUCGAUACGGGCAGGCUAGAGUGUGGUAGGGGAGAUCGGAAUUCCUAGUGUAGCGGUGAAAUGCGUAGAUAUCGAGAGGAACACCUGCGGCGAAGGCGGGUAGCUGGGCCGACACUGACGCUGAUGCGCGAAAGCCAGGGGAGCGAACGGG